RNAcentral lists this ribosomal RNA (433 nucleotides) under uncultured bacterium. RNAcentral describes it as "partial 16S ribosomal RNA". It matches the Rfam family "Bacterial small subunit ribosomal RNA", at positions 29 to 507 of the family's 1533-position model. The record is from RNAcentral.
AACGAACGCUGGCGGCAUGCCUAACACAUGCGAGUCGAACGAGACCUUCGGGUCUAGUGGCGCACGGGUGCGUAACGCGUGGGAACCUGCCUUUAGGUUCGGAAUAACUCAGAGAAAUUUGAGCUAAUACCGGAUGAUGUCUUCGGACCAAAGAUUUAUCGCCUUUAGAUGGGCCCGCGUUGGAUUAGCUAGUUGGUGGGGUAAAGGCCUACCAAGGCGACGAUCCAUAGCUGGUCUGAGAGGAUGAUCAGCCACACUGGGACUGAGACACGGCCCAGACUCCUACGGGAGGCAGCAGUGGGGAAUAUUGGACAAUGGGCGAAAGCCUGAUCCAGCAAUGCCGCGUGAGUGAUGAAGGCCUUAGGGUUGUAAAGCUCUUUUACCCGAGAUGAUAAUGACAGUAUCGGGAGAAUAAGCUCCGGCUAACUCCGUG